This 95-nucleotide transfer RNA is filed under the name Rhodoluna sp. KAS3. Its description in RNAcentral is "tRNA-Ser". It matches the Rfam family "tRNA". Rfam says of the family: Transfer RNA (tRNA) molecules are approximately 80 nucleotides in length. Their secondary structure includes four short double-helical elements and three loops (D, anti-codon, and T loops). Lineage: Bacteria; Bacillati; Actinomycetota; Actinomycetes; Micrococcales; Microbacteriaceae. The record is from RNAcentral.
GGAGUUGUCGCAUAGCCCGGUCGAGUGCGCCCGCCUGCUAAGUGGGUAGGGAGGUUAAAUCUCCCUCGAGGGUUCAAAUCCCUCCAACUCCGCCA